Molecule: ribosomal RNA, 253 nt
Filed under: uncultured bacterium
Lineage: Bacteria
Description: partial 16S ribosomal RNA
Rfam family: Bacterial small subunit ribosomal RNA
Source: RNAcentral
UACGUAGGGUGCAAGCGUUGUCCGGAAUUAUUGGGCGUAAAGAGCUCGUAGGCGGCUCGUUGCGUCGGCUGUGAAAACCCGCAGCUCAACUGUGGGCCUGCAGCUGAUACGGGCGGGCUGGAGUUCGGUAGGGGAGACUGGAAUUCCUGGUGUAGCGGUGAAAUGCGCAGAUAUCAGGAGGAACACCGGUGGCGAAGGCGGGUCUCUGGGCCGAUACUGACGCUGAGGAGCGAAAGCGUGGGGAGCGAACAGG